AACGUACGCUGGCGGCACGCCUAACACAUGCAAGUCGAACGCAGUAGCAAUACUGAGUGGCAGACGGGUGAGUAACAUGUGGGAAUCUGCCUUGUGGUUCAGGACAACAUUGGGAAACCGAUGCUAAUACUGGAUAAGCCCUUACGGGGAGAGUUUUAAUGCCAUAAGAUGAGCCCGCAUUUGAUUAGUUAGUUGGUGAGGUAAUGGCUCACCAAGACAAUGAUCAAUAGCUGAUCUGAGAGGAUGAUCAGCCACACUGGGACUGAGACACGGCCCCGACUCCUACGGGAGGCAGCAGUGGGGGCUCUUGCACAAUGGAGGAAACUCUGAUGCAGCGAUGCCGCGUGCGUCGCCCUGGCCUUUGGGUUGUCCACCUCUUUUUUAGGGGAAGAUAAUGACUGUACCCUAAGAAUAAGGUCCGGCUAACUACGUGCCAGCAGCCGCAGUAA
RNAcentral lists this ribosomal RNA (449 nucleotides) under uncultured bacterium. RNAcentral describes it as "partial 16S ribosomal RNA". It matches the Rfam family "Bacterial small subunit ribosomal RNA", at positions 29 to 523 of the family's 1533-position model. The record is from RNAcentral.